This 478-nucleotide ribosomal RNA is filed under the name uncultured bacterium. RNAcentral's name for it is "partial 16S ribosomal RNA". It matches the Rfam family "Bacterial small subunit ribosomal RNA", at positions 28 to 507 of the family's 1533-position model. The record is from RNAcentral.
GAUGAACGCUGGCGGCGUGCCUAACACAUGCAAGUCGAACGGAGUCCAGCCUUUAAGACCUUCGGGUCAAAGAGGGGAAGACUGAGUGGCGGACGGGUGAGUAACACGUGGGCAACCUGGCUCAUAGAGGGGGAUAACAGAGAGAAAUUUCUGCUAAUACCGCAUAAGCACACACUGCCGCAUGGCAGAGGGUGAAAAGAGAAUCGCUAUGAGAUGGACCCGCGUCUGAUUAGCCAGUUGGCAGGGUAAGAGCCUACCAAAGCGACGAUUAGUAGCCGAUCUGAGAGGAUGAACGGCCACAUUGGGACUGAGACACGGCCCAAACUCCUACGGGAGGCAGCAGUGGGGGAUAUUGCACAAUGGGGGGAACCCUGAUGCAGCGACGCCGCGUGAGUGAAGAAGUGUUUCGGUAUGUAAAGCUCUAUCAGCAGGGAAGAUAAUGACAGUACCUGAAUAAGAAGCCCCGGCUAACUACGUG